CCUACGGGAGGCUGCAGUGGGGAAUAUUGGACAAUGGGGGCAACCCUGAUCCAGCCAUGCCGCGUGUGUGAAGAAGGCCCUCGGGUUGUAAAGCACUUUCAGUGAGGAAGAACGCCUGGUGGUUAAUACCCAUCAGGAAAGACAUCACUCACAGAAGAAGCACCGGCUAACUCCGUGCCAGCAGCCGCGGUAAUACGGAGGGUGCGAGCGUUAAUCGGAAUUACUGGGCGUAAAGCGCUCGUAGGUGGCUUGAUAAGCCGGUUGUGAAAGCCCCGGGCUCAACCUGGGAACGGCAUCCGGAACUGUCAAGCUAGAGUGCAGGAGAGGAAGGUAGAAUUCCCGGUGUAGCGGUGAAAUGCGUAGAGAUCGGGAGGAAUACCAGUGGCGAAGGCGGCCUUCUGGACUGACACUGACACUGAGGUGCGAAAGCGUGGGUAGCAAACAGGAUUAGAUACCCGAGUAGUC
RNAcentral lists this ribosomal RNA (465 nucleotides) under Vreelandella stevensii. Its description in RNAcentral is "partial 16S ribosomal RNA". It matches the Rfam family "Bacterial small subunit ribosomal RNA", at positions 338 to 795 of the family's 1533-position model. The record is from RNAcentral. Lineage: Bacteria; Pseudomonadati; Pseudomonadota; Gammaproteobacteria; Oceanospirillales; Halomonadaceae.